GUGAGUCAUCGAGUCUUUGAACGCACCUUGCGCUCCUUGGUAUUCCGAGGAGCACGCCUGUUCGAGUGUCGUGAAAUUCUCAAGCUGGAUAGCUUUAUUGUUAUCUCAGUUUGGUUUUGGGUUUUGCCGUCUCCUCUUUUGUGAACGGCUGGCCUUAAAAGUAUUAGCUGACCCUUGUUUGUGGGAUUGGUUCUACUCAGCGUGAUAAUUUAUGACCGCUGAGGACAUCUUUCGGGAUGGCCAGCUCUGCCUUGGAUCGCUUCUAAUCCUGGUAUUUGGAGUCCGCUCCUCAUCCUUAACUUUUUCAACUUUGACCUCGAAUCAGGUGGGACUACCCGCUGAACUUAA
This 348-nucleotide ribosomal RNA is filed under the name uncultured fungus. Its description in RNAcentral is "eukaryotic LSU rRNA". The stretch from base 1 to 71 matches the Rfam family "5.8S ribosomal RNA", at positions 84 to 154 of the family's 154-position model. The record is from RNAcentral. Lineage: Eukaryota; Fungi.